GGAUAUAUCCUUCUUUGUGUUUCUUUCAGACCCUUGGUAAAACCCUACUGGGCUAUUUGCUUCUUUUACACAUAUAGUUCAGCACAGAAUUAAAAGAAGGUGAAGCCUAUAUAUAUCAUGGCCCAGCUUCUAGCUCGCCUCUGGCCUUGCUGGUUCUUAUUAAUGAUUCAUUUCUUUUGACAGGAGCGGCAACAUUUCAGGACUUCUUGGGUGGAAGAAAGUUGGCAGAGAGAAAGUCCACGGUUAAUGAAGUUACUGUUGUCUCCAGGAUUAAGAAAACAUGCUUCCUCUAAUAAAUCAAAGAUCAUCAGAGGUAACUGCUUAUUCCACGAUUCCCAAGACAGCUUCAUCCAGACACUGGCCAUGAGGAAAGAUGAGAUUUGAAUUUUGAUCCCACCAGUGAGCUGGAGGCACAACGGAAUGGCAGCCUAGAACAAGCAGUAUAAGAAAAGCACCAUUUAUGGGCAGGUGUUGGCUGGGCUCCAUGAAGGCCUUUCAGGGCUACACAUGGAAGGCACUCCUGGUGUAUCUCCGAGAAUGCAGGAGAUCCCUACCAAGCAGGUAGUCAAAUUCCAAGCCUCACGCCCCACCUGCCCCUUGUGGUAAGUUGGUGUUUCCUUUCACCAUAUUUCAGCAUGCAGAAUUG
This is a long non-coding RNA of Herpailurus yagouaroundi (jaguarundi), 646 nucleotides long. RefSeq lists it as uncharacterized. The record is from RefSeq and is a predicted model, not a curated record. NCBI's taxonomy places the organism in Eukaryota, Metazoa, Chordata, Mammalia, Carnivora, Felidae. The transcript is spliced from 5 exons.